GAUUGGCUUAGUUAGGAGGCAUAAAAUAAUCUGAUCUUUUCAAUACUUUUCUGUAUUGGUUUGAUCUUAAUGACUUGAGGUCUUUUGAGGAGGAGCUCUGCUUUCUUGCUGCUUCUCCCAAGCAGCCUCAGACAUUA
This 137-nucleotide small nucleolar RNA is filed under the name Brassica napus (rape). RNAcentral's name for it is "snoRNA snoU19". It matches the Rfam family "Small nucleolar RNA U19". The record is from Rfam by way of RNAcentral. Lineage: Eukaryota; Viridiplantae; Streptophyta; Magnoliopsida; Brassicales; Brassicaceae.